GACGAACGCUGGCGGCAGGCUUAACACAUGCAAGUCGAGCGCCCUGCUUGCAGGGAGCGGCAGACGGGUGAGUAACGCGUGGGAACGUACCCUUCGGUACGGAAUAGCCCCGGGAAACUGGGUGUAAUACCGUAUACGACCUCCGGGUGAAAGAUUUAUCGCCGAAGGAUCGGCCCGCGUUAGAUUAGCUUGAUGGUGGGGUAAUGGCCUACCAUGGCUACGAUCUAUAGCUGGUCUGAGAGGAUGAUCAGCCACACUGGGACUGAGACACGGCCCAGACUCCUACGGGAGGCAGCAGUGGGGAAUAUUGGACAAUGGGCGCAAGCCUGAUCCAGCCAUGCCGCGUGAGUGAAGACGGCCCUAGGGUUGUAAAACUCUUUCAACGGUGAAGAUAAUGACGGUAGCCGUAGAAGAAGCCCCGGCUAAUUUCG
This 431-nucleotide ribosomal RNA is filed under the name uncultured Alphaproteobacteria bacterium. RNAcentral's name for it is "bacterial SSU rRNA". It matches the Rfam family "Bacterial small subunit ribosomal RNA", at positions 28 to 505 of the family's 1533-position model. The record is from RNAcentral. Lineage: Bacteria; Pseudomonadati; Pseudomonadota; Alphaproteobacteria.